Molecule: transfer RNA, 72 nt
Filed under: Ictidomys tridecemlineatus (thirteen-lined ground squirrel)
Lineage: Eukaryota; Metazoa; Chordata; Mammalia; Rodentia; Sciuridae
Also listed under: 1 other name
Description: Spermophilus tridecemlineatus (thirteen-lined ground squirrel) tRNA
Rfam family: tRNA
About the family: Transfer RNA (tRNA) molecules are approximately 80 nucleotides in length.
Source: Rfam by way of RNAcentral
GGGGGUGUAACUCAGAGGUAGAGCACUUGCCUAGCAAGUGUGAGGCUCUGGGUUCAAUCCCCAGCAUUGCAA